Molecule: ribosomal RNA, 1518 nt
Filed under: Triticum aestivum (bread wheat)
Lineage: Eukaryota; Viridiplantae; Streptophyta; Magnoliopsida; Poales; Poaceae
Description: partial small subunit ribosomal RNA
Source: RNAcentral
AUGGGCGUGGAAGAAGGCGAGAAGCCGCACGCCGUGUGCCUGCCGGCACCGGCGCAAGGGCACAUCACGCCGAUGCUGGAGAUGGCCAAGCUGCUCCACGCCCGGGGCUUCCACAUCACCUUCGUCAACACCGAGUUCAACCAUCGCCGGCUGCUCCGCUCCCGCGGGGCGGCGGCACUUGACGGCCUCCCGAGCUUCCGCUUCGCCGCGAUACCGGACGGGCUCCCCGCGUCAGACGCCGACGCCACCCAGGACGUCCCCGCCCUGUGCUACGCCAUGAUGACCACCUUUCUCCCCCACCUCCGGGCCCUUCUUGCCAAGCUCAAUGACCCGGGCUCCGGGGUGCCGCCGAUCACCUGCCUCGUCGUCGACGGUGUCGCAUCGUUCAGCUACGAUGCCGCGCAGGAGCUCGGCGUGCCUUGCGCCGCGUUGUGGACGUCCAGCGCUUGCGGGUUCAUGGGUUACCGCCACUUCCGUCGGCUAAUCGACCGGGAUCUUGUGCCUUUCAAAGACGAGGAGCAGCUGACGGACAAUGGGCAUCUCGACACGGCGGUCGACGGCAUGAGCGGCAUGUGCCAUGGCAUACGGCUGCGCGACUUCCCGACGAUGAUCCGCACCACCGACCGCGACGACAUCAUGCUCAACUACGUCAUGCGCGAGGCCGAGAGGCUGUCGCUCCCCGACGCCGUGCUGCUCAACACCUUCGACGCACUCGAGCAGCCGGUUCUCGACGCCAUGCACGCCAUCCUCCCGCCCAUGUACACCGUCGGCCCGCUGCAUCUCCACGCCAGCAGCGUCGUCCCCACCGGCACCCCGCUCGACGGCCUCGGCUCCAACCUCUGGAAGGAGCAGGACGGCCUCCUCGCGUGGCUCGACGGGCACGGCGCCGGAGCCGUCGUGUACGUCAACUACGGAAGCGUCGCCGUGAUGACGAACGAGCAGCUCCUGGAGCUCGGGUGGGGGCUGGCCGACAGCGGCUACACGUUCAUAUGGAACGUCCGGCCGGACCUCGUCAGGGGAGAGACCGCCGUGAUGCCGCCGGAGUUCCUAGCAUCGGUCCACGGCCGCGCCAUGCUCACGACGUGGUGCCCGCAGGCGGAGGUCCUCGGGCACGAGGCGGUGGGGGUGUUCCUGACGCACUCCGGCUGGAACUCCACGCUCGAGAGCAUCUCCGCCGGCGUGCCGAUGCUGUGCUGGCCGUUCGCCGGGGAGCAGCAGACCAACUGUCGGUACAAGUGCACCGAGUGGGGGAUCGGGAUGGAGAUCGGCGGCGAGGUGAAGCGGGCGGAAGUGGCGGCGAUGAUACGCGAGGCGAUGGUGGGGGGCAAGGGGCGGGAGAUGAGGCGGCAUGCGGCGGAGUGGAAGGAGAAGGCCCAGCGUGCGUCGCUGCCAGGUGGGGCCGCAGAGGCCAACCUAGACGAGGUUUACAUAAGGAGGGAGAAUGCCGGCAGCUGGAAUUCUGGGCUGGAAAAGGAGCAAAUAUUAGAGACAUAUUCUACGCAACUCCAAAAGUCCUGA